AACGAACGCUGGCGGCAUGCCUAACACAUGCAAGUCGAACGAGACCUUCGGGUCUAGUGGCGCACGGGUGCGUAACGCGUGGGAACCUGCCCUUAGGGUCGGAAUACCUCUCCGAAAGGGGUGCUAAUACCGGAUAAUGUCUUCGGACCAAAGAUUUAUCGCGUUUGGAUGGGCCCGCGUUGGAUUAGCUAGUUGGUAGGGUAAAAGCUUACCAAGGCGACGAUCCAUAGCUGGUCUGAGAGGAUGCUCAGCCACACUGGGACUGAGACACGGCCCAGACUCCUACGGGAGGCGGCAGUGGGGAAUAGUGGACAAUGGGCGAAAGCCUGAUCCAGCAAUGCCGCGUGAGUGAUGAAGGCCUUAGGGUUGUAAAGCUCUUUUACCCGGGAUGAUAAUGACGGUACCGGGAGAGUAAGCUCCGGCUAACUCCGUG
Molecule: ribosomal RNA, 433 nt
Filed under: uncultured bacterium
Lineage: Bacteria
Description: partial 16S ribosomal RNA
Rfam family: Bacterial small subunit ribosomal RNA
Source: RNAcentral